RNAcentral lists this ribosomal RNA (347 nucleotides) under uncultured bacterium. RNAcentral's name for it is "bacterial SSU rRNA". It matches the Rfam family "Bacterial small subunit ribosomal RNA", at positions 28 to 361 of the family's 1533-position model. The record is from RNAcentral.
GAUGAACGCUGGCGGCGUGCCUAAUACAUGCAAGUCGAACGAGGUGCUUUUGUAGCAAUACGAGAGUAUCCUAGUGGCGAACGGGUGAGUAACGCGUGGAUGACCUGCCCCAAAGUGUGGGAUAACAGUCCGAAAGGAUUGCUAAUACCUCAUGUGGUUAUCGGUUUUAGAAAGCGAUAACUAAAGCAGCAAUGCGCUUUGGGAGGGAUCUGCGUCCCAUCAGCUAGUUGGUGAGGUAACGGCUCACCAAGGCGACGACGGGUAGGGGACCUAGAGAGGGUCGGCCCCCCACAAGUGGAACUAGAAACGACGGUCCAUACACCGUACGGGUGGCAGCAGGUAGGGAA